GCUGGGUGCGCAGGCGCAUGCCUGUAAUCCCAGCAGCUCAGGAGGCUGAGGCAGGAGGAUCAUGAGUUCAAAGCCAGCCUCAG
Molecule: small RNA, 83 nt
Filed under: Marmota monax (woodchuck)
Lineage: Eukaryota; Metazoa; Chordata; Mammalia; Rodentia; Sciuridae
Source: RNAcentral